ACGCUCGACACCUACGGGAGCAGCAGUGGGGAAUAUUGCACAAUGGGGGAAACCCUGAUGCAGCGACGCCGCGUGGAGGAAGAAGGUCUUCGGAUGUAAACUCCUGUUGUUGGGGAAAAAGAGGAUGGUACCCAACAAGGAAGUGACGGCUAACUACGUGCCANCAGCCGCGGUAAUCUGAGCGGGCUGGCAAGGC
RNAcentral lists this ribosomal RNA (196 nucleotides) under uncultured bacterium. Its description in RNAcentral is "partial 16S ribosomal RNA". It matches the Rfam family "Bacterial small subunit ribosomal RNA", at positions 328 to 539 of the family's 1533-position model. The record is from RNAcentral.